GCAGAACGCGAAGAACCUUACCCAGGUUUGACAUCUUCGGAAGGCUUCCGAAAGGAAACUGUGCCGUAAGGAACCGAAUGACAGGUGAUGCAUGGCCGUCGUCAGCUCGUGUCGUGAGAUGUUUGGUUAAGUCCAUCAACGAGCGCAACCCUUAUAGUUAGUUGUAUUUUCUAGCUAGACUGCCCUGGUAACAGGGAGGAAGGGGGGGAUGAUGUCAGGUCAGUAUUUCCCUUACAUCUGGGGCUACAAACACGCUACAAUGGCCGGUACAAAGGGCAGCCAAGUCGCGAGACGGAGCAAAUCCCAUCAAAGCCGGUCCCAGUUCGGAUAGCAGGCUGAAACUCGCCUGCUUGAA
RNAcentral lists this ribosomal RNA (355 nucleotides) under uncultured bacterium. RNAcentral's name for it is "bacterial SSU rRNA". It matches the Rfam family "Bacterial small subunit ribosomal RNA", at positions 954 to 1324 of the family's 1533-position model. The record is from RNAcentral.